CGAAGGGGAUCGCCCUCAUCGGACGACGACGACUGAUCGGAAACGGCAUCGGGUUCCUAUCGAAGGAGGCGGCGAAGCUCUUCCAGACGGCUGAGCCCACGCCGGAGCAGUGGCCGCCGGAGUUCCCACGAUGAUAGCAGUGAUUAUUCGGAUUCUGGAUCGGAGAACCGGCGUAGGCGAAAGAACGGAGGAGGAGAUCUUCGAGUACAUGGCCAAGAAAGCCCAAAAGAAGGCUGUGAAGGUCGCAAAGAAGCUCAAAGCAAAUGCAGUCUCUGGUUAUUCGAAUGAUUCGAAUCCAUUUGAAGACUCCAAUCUGACCGAGAGCUAUAUGUUGCAUAAUGUGCUACACCAAUUCUGUGCUUGGCAUCCAUAGCCAUGAGAUCUCCAAACUGACUCCAAGCUGGGCUACUGCUGCUGCUGCUUCACGGAUCAUUCAGCAUAAUGCAACUCCUCUCCUACUUUAGCAGCAGAUUCUUACGAAGGAUAUAUCAGAUUCAAAGGCCUUCCUAAUGAAGUGAAGAGUUUCAAGUCUGAGACAGCGUAUGUUCCCUGCACCGUGACAAAUGGAAUUCCACGUGGCAUACGUUGUCUCGUGGAGAUGCUCCCUUGCUUCCACGGUCGCCAACAUCGCAAUAAAACAAAAACGAGAGGCUGGCAAGUCAAACCUACUUGCAUGUAUAAGGGUGUUCAAAGUCGUGAAGUCCAACGACAUUGUAGCCCUAACAUCUAAGUUUUCCCAUUGUUAAUGUCAUAAGCAAGGCAAUCAAGCCACAUGACACCAAUUUAUAAGCAUCGGUAAGAUGGGGGAGCUGAGAGAGAUAAGACUGCAGGAAUAAAUGAAGACGGUCACACAUCUCGGUUCAUGUCACCUCACCACCGCCAUGGUAGAUUGCAAUUAAUUCCCACUGUGAAGGGGCUCGCAACGACACCGCUCCAGGAUUCGGUACUUGGCCUAUCAUGGAGGACUCUACUGUGUGCCAUUUCCCAAGGCAGGGAGGGAGGCUUGUGCCUUGUUUGACGACCUUGCACAGAUAUUAUGCAGC
This is a non-coding RNA of Musa acuminata subsp. malaccensis (wild Malaysian banana), 1043 nucleotides long. Lineage: Eukaryota; Viridiplantae; Streptophyta; Magnoliopsida; Zingiberales; Musaceae. The record is from RefSeq and is a predicted model, not a curated record.